This 1345-nucleotide ribosomal RNA is filed under the name uncultured bacterium. RNAcentral's name for it is "bacterial SSU rRNA". It matches the Rfam family "Bacterial small subunit ribosomal RNA", at positions 28 to 1381 of the family's 1533-position model. The record is from RNAcentral.
GAUGAACGCUAUUGGGAGGCCUAACACAUGCAAGCCGAGCGGUAUUGUUUCUUCGGAAAUGAGAGAGCGGCGUACGGGUGCGGAACACGUGUGCAACCUGCCUUUAUCUGGGGGAUAGCCUUUCGAAAGGAAGAUUAAUACUCCAUAAUAUAUUGAACGGCAUCGUUUAAUACUGAAAGCUCCGGCGGAUAGAGAUGGGCACGCGCAAGAUUAGCUAGUUGGUGAGGUAACGGCUCACCAAGGCGAUGAUCUUUAGGGGGCCUGAGAGGGUGAUCCCCCACACUGGUACUGAGACACGGACCAGACUCCUACGGGAGGCAGCAGUGAGGAAUAUUGGUCAAUGGGUGCAAGCCUGAACCAGCCAUCCCGCGUGAAGGACGACUGCCCUAUGGGUUGUAAACUUCUUUUGUAUAGGGAUAAACCUACCCUCGUGAGGGUAGCUGAAGGUACUAUACGAAUAAGCACCGGCUAACUCCGUGCCAGCAGCCGCGGUAAUACGGAGGGUGCAAGCGUUAUCCGGAUUUAUUGGGUUUAAAGGGUCCGUAGGCGGACUUAUAAGUCAGUGGUGAAAGCCUGUCGCUUAACGAUAGAACUGCCAUUGAUACUGUAAGUCUUGAGUAUAUUUGAGGUAGCUGGAAUAAGUAGUGUAGCGGUGAAAUGCAUAGAUAUUACUUAGAACACCAAUUGCGAAGGCAGGUUACCAAGAUAUAACUGACGCUGAGGGACGAGAGCGUGGGGAGCGAACAGGAUUAGAUACCCUGGUAGUCCACGCCGUAAACGAUGCUAACUCGUUUUUGGGCUUUAGGGUUCAGAGACCAAGCGAAAGUGAUAAGUUAGCCACCUGGGGAGUACGCUCGCAAGAGUGAAACUCAAAGGAAUUGACGGGGGCCCGCACAAGCGGUGGAUUAUGUGGUUUAAUUCGAUGAUACGCGAGGAACCUUACCAAGACUUAAAUGGGAAUUGACAGCUUUAGAAAUAGAGCUUUCUUCGGACAAUUUUCAAGGUGCUGCAUGGUUGUCGUCAGCUCGUGCCGUGAGGUGUUAGGUUAAGUCCUGCAACGAGCGCAACCCCUGUCACUAGUUGCCAUCAUUCAGUUGGGGACUCUAGUGAGACUGCCUACGCAAGUAGAGAGGAAGGUGGGGAUGACGUCAAAUCAUCACGGCCCUUACGUCUUGGGCCACACACGUAAUACAAUGGCCGGUACAGAGGGCAGCUACACAGCGAUGUGAUGCAAAUCUCGAAAGCCGGUCUCAGUUCGGAUUGGAGUCUGCAACUCGACUCUAUGAAGCUGGAAUCGCUAGUAAUCGCGCAUCAGCCAUGGCGCGGUGAAUACGUUCCCGGGCCU